This 21-nucleotide microRNA is filed under the name Melibe leonina. RNAcentral's name for it is "mle-miR-190-3p". Its record names the gene mle-miR-190-3p. The record is from miRBase by way of RNAcentral. Lineage: Eukaryota; Metazoa; Mollusca; Gastropoda; Nudibranchia; Dendronotidae.
CCGAAUGUCUGACAUAUCAGA